AUCCAGCUAACGAGUCCCAAAUAGAACGAAACACGCGUCCUGAAU
RNAcentral lists this non-coding RNA (45 nucleotides) under Schistosoma mattheei. Lineage: Eukaryota; Metazoa; Platyhelminthes; Trematoda; Strigeidida; Schistosomatidae. The record is from RNAcentral.